AUUGAACGCUGGCGGCAGGCCUAACACAUGCAAGUCGAACGAGUGGCGGACGGGUGAGUAAUGUCUGGGAAACUGCCCGAUGGAGGGGGAUCACUACUGGAAACGGUAGCUAAUACCGCAUACCCUCGGAUGUGCCCAGAUGGUAUUAGCUAGUAGGUGGGUUAACGGCUCACCUAGGCGACGAUCCAUAGCUGGUCUGAGAGGGUGACCAGCCACACUGGAACUGAGACACGGUCCAGACUCCUACGGGAGGCAGCAGUGGGGAAUAUUGCACAAUGGGCGCAAGCCUGAUGCAGCCAUGCCGCGUGUAUGAAGAAGGCCUUCGGGUUGUAAAGUACUUUCAGCGAGGAGGCGUUACUCGCAGAAGAAGCACCGGCUAACUCCGUGCCAGCCGCCGCGGUAAUUC
This 406-nucleotide ribosomal RNA is filed under the name uncultured bacterium. Its description in RNAcentral is "partial 16S ribosomal RNA". It matches the Rfam family "Bacterial small subunit ribosomal RNA", at positions 30 to 526 of the family's 1533-position model. The record is from RNAcentral.